This 519-nucleotide ribosomal RNA is filed under the name uncultured Oscillibacter sp. Its description in RNAcentral is "partial 16S ribosomal RNA". Lineage: Bacteria; Bacillati; Bacillota; Clostridia; Eubacteriales; Oscillospiraceae. The record is from RNAcentral.
CACGUAGUUAGCCGUGGCUUAUUCAAGGGGUACCGUCUUCUGCUCUUCCCCCUUAAAGAAGUUACAACCCGAAAGCCUUCUUCCUUCACGCGGCGUUGCUGGGUCAGACUUGCGUCCAUUGCCCAAUAUUCCCCACUGCUGCCUCCCGUAGGAGUCUGGGCCGUAUCUCAGUCCCAAUGUGGCCGGCCAACCUCUCAGUCCGGCUACUGAUCGUCGCCUUGGUGGGCCGUUACCCCACCAACUAGCUAAUCAGACGCGAGGCCAUCCUUCAGCGAUAAAUCUUUGACAUUCAAACCAUGCGAUUCAAAUGUAUCAUGCGGUAUUAGCAGUCGUUUCCAACUGUUGUCCCCCUCUGAAGGGCAGGUUCCUCACGCGUUACUCACCAGUCCGCCACUAAGCAUUCCCAUCCGUUGUCCGAAAACUCCUUCAGGGGUGCUCCGUUCGACUUGUCAUGUGUUAAGCACGCCGCCAGCGUUCGUCCUGAGCCACGGAGUCAAACUACUCUGACGACGUCGACCG